RNAcentral lists this unclassified non-coding RNA (335 nucleotides) under soil metagenome. RNAcentral's name for it is "partial contains 5.8S ribosomal RNA, internal transcribed spacer 2, and large subunit ribosomal RNA". The stretch from base 1 to 120 matches the Rfam family "5.8S ribosomal RNA", at positions 35 to 154 of the family's 154-position model. The record is from RNAcentral.
GAUGAAGAACGCAGCGAAAUGCGAUAAGUAAUGUGAAUUGCAGAAUUCAGUGAAUCAUCGAAUCUUUGAACGCACAUUGCGCCCGCCAGUAUUCUGGCGGGCAUGCCUGUCCGAGCGUCAUUUCAACCAUCAAGCCCCCGGCUUGUGUUGGGGACCUGCGGCUGCCGCAGGCCCUGAAAACCAGUGGCGGGCUCGCUAGUCACUCCGAGCGUAGUAAUACAUCUCGCUCAGGGCGUGCUGCGGGUUCCGGCCGUUAAAAAGCCUUAUUUACCCAAGGUUGACCUCGGAUCAGGUAGGAAGACCCGCUGAACUUAAGCAUAUCAAUAAGCGGAGGA